RNAcentral lists this ribosomal RNA (774 nucleotides) under uncultured bacterium. Its description in RNAcentral is "bacterial SSU rRNA". It matches the Rfam family "Bacterial small subunit ribosomal RNA", at positions 613 to 1388 of the family's 1533-position model. The record is from RNAcentral.
CCUGGGAACUGCGUUNUGAACUGGGUGACUAGAGUGUGUCAGAGGGAGGUAGAAUUCCACGUGUAGCAGUGAAAUGCGUAGAGAUGUGGAGGAAUACCGAUGGCGAAGGCAGCCUCCUGGGAUAACACUGACGUUCAUGCCCGAAAGCGUGGGUAGCAAACAGGAUUAGAUACCCUGGUAGUCCACGCCCUAAACGAUGUCGAUUAGCUGUUGGGCAGCAUGACUGCUUAGUAGCGAAGCUAACGCGUGAAAUCGACCGCCUGGGGAGUACGGUCGCAAGAUUAAAACUCAAAGGAAUUGACGGGGACCCGCACAAGCGGUGGAUGAUGUGGAUUAAUUCGAUGCAACGCGAAGAACCUUACCUGGUCUUGACAUGUACGGAACCCUCCAGAGACGGAGGGGUGCCUUCGGGAGCCGUAACACAGGUGCUGCAUGGCUGUCGUCAGCUCGUGUCGUGAGAUGUUGGGUUAAGUCCCGCAACGAGCGCAACCCUUGUCAUUAGUUGCCAUCAUUAAGUUGGGCACUCUAAUGAGACUGCCGGUGACAAGCCGGAGGAAGGUGGGGAUGACGUCAAGUCCUCAUGGCCCUUAUGACCAGGGCUUCACACGUCAUACAAUGGUCGGUACAGAGGGUAGCCAAGCCGCGAGGUGGAGCCAAUCUCACAAAACCGAUCGUAGUCCGGAUUGCACUCUGCAACUCGAGUGCAUGAAGUCGGAAUCGCUAGUAAUCGCAGGUCAGCAUACUGCGGUGAAUACGUUCCCGGGUCUUGUACAC